UACGAAGGGUGCAAGCGUUACUCGGAAUUACUGGGCGUAAAGCGUGCGUAGGUGGUUUGUUAAGUCUGUUGUGAAAGCCCCGGGCUCAACCUGGGAAUGGCAAUGGAUACUGGCAAGCUAGAGUGCGGUAGAGGGUAGUGGAAUUCCCGGUGUAGCGGUGAAAUGCGUAGAGAUCGGGAGGAACACCAGUGGCGAAGGCGGCUACCUGGACCAGCACUGACACUGAGGCACGAAAGCUAGGGGAGCAAACGGG
RNAcentral lists this ribosomal RNA (253 nucleotides) under uncultured bacterium. Its description in RNAcentral is "partial 16S ribosomal RNA". It matches the Rfam family "Bacterial small subunit ribosomal RNA", at positions 524 to 776 of the family's 1533-position model. The record is from RNAcentral.